UUGUCCAGCUUGAUUGAUCAUCACAUCUCGCCGCCAGCAGUAUGGGUCGAACGUGUACUUUGUUACUCGCUGCAGUGCUCUGUGUUGUGGUCUUUGGGAUAGGAGCGCAAGCACAGACGGGAGGAUCAUUGGGAAAUCUGAUAUUUCCUCCCAACCAGUGCACCAACAGCAUAUGGUGUUUUGUUUGCCGUGCCUUUUUUUCGGGGACCUGCAGAUCCACCAGUUGCCCGUUUUUUUCUCGACCUAUUGCCAAUUUUCUGAGUUCUAAUAACCAAGUGACAUGCAGAUGCUGUAGAUCCUUCAGCUUUCCCCUGGCGGCUGCUACCACGACUGGAUAGAUAAAGAGAAGCAAAGAAAUCAACAGGAACAAGAUCAUGCCUCCAAUUUGAAGGUCACGCUUACGUAUGGAAUAACCGAAACCAAAUGCUUCACUAGUUAUACUGUUAGACAAAAUACUGUAUAUGCUUCGUUUUGCGAUUGUGAGAACAAGAAGAUGUACCCAUUGCUUCUCUUUUUAGAUAAUGUAUUUGAUCAUGAAUCCAACUGUUAU
Long non-coding RNA from Lingula anatina, 550 nucleotides. RefSeq lists it as uncharacterized. NCBI's taxonomy places the organism in Eukaryota, Metazoa, Brachiopoda, Lingulata, Lingulida, Lingulidae. The record is from RefSeq and is a predicted model, not a curated record.